RNAcentral lists this long non-coding RNA (963 nucleotides) under Nicotiana benthamiana. RNAcentral's name for it is "long non-coding RNA (NBEN_LNC016823)". The record is from RNAcentral. Lineage: Eukaryota; Viridiplantae; Streptophyta; Magnoliopsida; Solanales; Solanaceae.
CUAUUCACUCACCAACAACACCGGCAAGGCAAGAGUGGAAGGAGAAAAGAAAGAAGGAUCAAGUCGAGUGUUGUUCGGUGUGAGGCCGAGGUAGCUGUUCUAGUUCUGGACAGGAAAGUCAAGUAUGGGCUUAGGGCUUUUGAAUUUGAAAUGGACUUGCAACCGGGGGAGAACAGAACUCUGGGUCCCGAAUUCCCCCGCCGACUGAGAGAUUCGAUUUCCAAAUCCAAGCUGGAACGUAGUCGCUAUAGCGAAGCUAUUGGCUUUCGCUUUGCUAAAUCGGAUCGGAGAUGAUUCGAGCAUCAGUGUUUAUAUAUAUGAUAUAUGAGAAUGAGAUUUCAUAUCAAUAUAUGGGUACACUGAUCUCCGUGUGAUAUUUCUUUUGUCAUUUUCUUUAUACGAUAUUUCUACUCAGCUUGAAAAGAAGCCUCUCUUAAGUUCAAGAGUUUAGAAAGGCUCUUAGCAUGGGAAGGAGCUCAGACUUCCUUAGAAGGAGAUAAGCUAGAACUAUCUUUGUAUGUACGGGUCUCGGUAAUUAUAGAGACUAGAUAAAAUAGGGCAAUGAGUUGGUUGUUAGAAUGAAUGAAUGAGGUCGCCGCUUCGCCCUAUGGAAACUAACCUUAGUGUCCAAAUAUUGUCGCGGGAAAGAAGCUUUUUGAAUCAAUAAAGGAAGCCUAUUGAAUUGGGAAUAGAAGGGGAAGGGGAAUAUGCCAAUGAACUUUAAGCAGGGGACAAAGCUGGGGAUGGCAAGGUUCUUUAUCAACGAUGCGGCAUUACCGCAGUUGUAUGUACUUGCAUUUCUGCUGUUAGCAUGCUUUGAUGGCAUAGAAUCAAUAGUUGACACGCACAAAAUAGAAAGAAGGGCUCUUUUCACGACUCCGGUGCUAUAGAAUCUCUUUCCAGAAGAGGGCUAGUCUAAAGGCCUUGCCUUAUGAAAGAAAGGAAGGAUAAGAGGAGGGGAGC